Molecule: long non-coding RNA, 372 nt
Organism: Lynx canadensis (Canada lynx)
Lineage: Eukaryota; Metazoa; Chordata; Mammalia; Carnivora; Felidae
Exons: 2
Source: RefSeq, a predicted model, not a curated record
ACACCGGAGGUGGGGGAAGAGGCUGCGUACCGCGUGGUGCGUGGAGCCGAGGAAAGCACGGACUUCCAGCACCCGGGAAGGCAACAAGUCUCACACAGCAAUUCUGUCGUCUUGCUUGCUAACCCUGGGCCCCCAGGGGCAGAAAGGAGUUCUAGGCUGCUGCUCAGCACCACUGGUAGGAUUUGCAGUCCUCAUCCAUGUAUGAAGACAGAGGAGCAGAGGAGGGACCACCAGACUGUCAUCUGAAAGUGUUCCCCAGCACAGCAAAGAUAGUCUGUGUUUGCAUUCACCCUAGAGUACCGUAGCAGCUAAAGACAGACACAACAUGUAUCUGGAAUAAAAGGUGUUUCACAGUGCCUUUCAACUUUAAAA